UACGUAGGGUGCGAGCGUUGUCCGGAAUUACUGGGCGUAAAGAGCUCGUAGGUGGUUUGUCGCGUUGUUCGUGAAAACUCACAGCUUAACUGUGGGCGUGCGGGCGAUACGGGCAGACUGGAGUACUGCAGGGGAGACUGGAAUUCCUGGUGUAGCGGUGGAAUGCGCAGAUAUCAGGAGGAACACCAAUGGCGAAGGCAGCUCGCUGGGACGGUACUGACGCUGAGGUGCGAAAGCGUGGGGAGCAAACAGG
This 253-nucleotide ribosomal RNA is filed under the name uncultured bacterium. Its description in RNAcentral is "partial 16S ribosomal RNA". It matches the Rfam family "Bacterial small subunit ribosomal RNA", at positions 524 to 776 of the family's 1533-position model. The record is from RNAcentral.